CUUGUGUAAUUAACCCGAUUUUUCUCCCUUCCCCAACCGACACCAUCUUCUCUUUCUUUCUUCUCCUCUCAAAAUCCCUUAUCCUCUUCUUUCUUUCUCACACACAAAUAGGUGCAAAAUUGUGAUAAAUUUGUGGAAAAUUCUAGCAAAAUUGGAAGAAAGCUUUAUUGGAGGCCAACCCAACUUUUGAUUAGGCAACAAAUUGAAAGAAAAUGGAUUGGGUAAUAGAGCUACACCAACGGAUCAUCGAGUUAAGAGAAUCACGCCAUAGGUAGCAUGCAUCUCCAACCUGUGUAUAUAGAGGACCACCAGCUAAUUGAUUUUGAGAUUAUGUAAUGUACAUCAGGACUGGUGAAGCCAGGAUCUUUACUUAUGUAUCUUUAUUUUGAAAUGUAUGGUUGUAUAUUUGUAUGAAUAGUGGUAGUUGUUUAGUUUAGUUUUACAUAAAUCACUCAGAUACUUUGUGUUUAGUUGUGGACUCUAGAAUCGUUAAUGUUGACCCUUUGAUUCCCUUA
Molecule: long non-coding RNA, 515 nt
Organism: Ananas comosus (pineapple)
Lineage: Eukaryota; Viridiplantae; Streptophyta; Magnoliopsida; Poales; Bromeliaceae
Exons: 2
Source: RefSeq, a predicted model, not a curated record